Molecule: long non-coding RNA, 1608 nt
Filed under: Populus tremula
Lineage: Eukaryota; Viridiplantae; Streptophyta; Magnoliopsida; Malpighiales; Salicaceae
Description: long non-coding RNA (PTRE_LNC000542)
Source: RNAcentral
AUAACUAGGGAGGUUUGUUAAGUUUUCUCAUGUAUUUAAAGACAUGCAGUUAAUGAAAUACUCACUGAGACAUUUCAUCAAACACCUUGUGUGUAAUUCGUGUUCUUCAAUAUCCAACAUUGUUGUUCUUGAUUGUGCAUCCCUUCACCUGCACAAAACACAGCAACACAAUUCUUAACAGUGGUAUCAGAGCAUCUCAGAUCUUACAGGACCAAAACACUUUUUUUUCAAAAUCUCAAAAAUGACAUCCAACAACUUACUUUUAAACUCCCCCAUUAUAUUCACUGGCGAAAACUACCAUAUUUGGUCAGUGAAGAUGCAAGCUUUUCUUGAAGCUUAUGAUCUUUGGGAAAUUGUUUCCGAAGACAAACCAGUAGCUCCCUUACCAACAAAUCCCACUAUGGCUCAAAUCAAGUUCAGCAGUGAGGAAAAGGCAAAGAAAUCCAAGGCAAAAGCAAUCAUCCAGAAUUCUGUGGCAGAAAGCAUUUUCUACAGAAUUAUGGCAUGCAAUUCAGCCAAAGAGGCUUGGAACAAACUAAAAGAAGAAUACCAAGGCAGUGACAGAACAAGGCAAAUGCAAGUGCUGAAUUUGAAGAGAGAUUUUGAGGCACUUAACAUGCAAGAAGAUGAAACAAUCUCCAAGUAUUCUGAUCGAAUUUCACUAAUUAUCAACAACAUCAGAUUACUUGGAGAAGACUUUCCUGACAGUAGGAUUGUGGAGAAGGUUCUUGUGACUCUUCCUGAGAGGUUUGAAUCCAAAAUCUCCUCUCUGGAAAAAUCAAAGGACCUCAGUAAAAUCUCAUUAGGUGAACUAAUGAGUGCUCUUCAAGCACAGGAGCAACGAAGAACAAUCAGGCAAGACAGAUUGACUGAAGGAGCCUUUUAUGUGCAAAAACAACAAGCUGGAAAAGGAAAGAAGUUGCCUAAUCUGAGAUUCAAAGGCAGAAAUGAAGGGGGCAGCACUAGUGAAGCUUCAAAACAAAAGAAGUUUCCUCCUUGCACUCAUUGCAAAAGAAACACACAUUCAGAAAAAUAUUGUUGGUGGAGGCCAGAUGCAAUUUGUGGAAAUUGCAAGCAAUCAGGGCACAUCACAAAGGUCUGCAAGUUUAAAACUCAGAUCCAAAACCUCAACAAGCUCACCUAGCAGAUGAAGUUGAUACACAGGAGGAGCAAUUCUUUGCUGUCACUUGUUUCUCAACAAAUGAUCCAGCUGAUACUUGGCUUAUUGACAGUGGAUGCACACAUCAUUUGUGCAAUGAUGCUGGAAUGUUCAAAACCCUUGAUGAAUCUUACAAAUCCAGAGUAAAGGUUGGCAAUGGAGAAUUUCUGGAGGUCAAAGGCAGAGGGUCAGUAAAUGUUCAAACAAGUUCAGGUAUCAAAAUCAUUCCUGAUGUGUUAUUUAUACCUGAAAUCAGUCAAAAUUUGUUGAGUGUUGGACAAAUGAUGGAGAAAAACUAUUCUCUUCAGUUUAAGGAUCAUAAAUGCAUUAUCUUUGAUCCUUCUGGAGAACAAGUGUUCUGUGUAAAGAUGAAAAACAGAAGCUUUGUUGUUGACUGGGAUAAAGUAUCCAAUCAUGCAUAUGUGAGUGCUACUCAGGAUGUUUCAAAU